UGAAACUGGUGCGAAACGCAUAAAUGGAAGAUCUGAACCAGGAACCGGGCUCAUUGGGAUGGAAAUAGUCAGUUUCUAGUUUUUCACACAACCAACAAAGUGGGUAUAUCAGUUUCCUCUUUUGUCCUUUUUGAAUCCAAAUGCCUUGAAGUUUUAUCACAGUCCACGUUAGUUAAAUUAAUUUUGCAAUACACUGGGUAUUACUUGUUUAACCACUUUAUUAAUAUAUGAGUCAGUAAUAAAGGUUGAGAGAUGGGAAUCCCAUAUAUUUUAUCACCAAUAUCUUAUGUUCGGAUAUUAAUACAUCACUUUGGGUUUGAUAUACUGUUGACCUUAGAUCUAUUUUUUCAUGUCAGCGUACUAUUCUAUAGGCAUGAUUCUCUAUGUUUGCCUAGAAUUGUUGAUAACUUAUUUCCCAUUGUUUUUUUUUUUUUUUGUUUAACAGUGCAGAGCACGGUAGAUUUGCAGUGGACAAUAGCCAUAAGUAUAUGAAGUAUAUUGAAAUACGAGUAACCAUAUAAGUUCGAUGAAUCAACUUGUAGUGGUGUGAGAGGAGGGUGCCUUAGUGUUUGUGUGCAAAUGUUAUUGUGUUUAUGUUGCCUGGAGGAGAUAGAUCACGUUUGUUGGUGUUUAGCUAAGUAUUGACAUUGUAUCUCCUAAGAACUAUAGAUUGCUAGACUUGCACUUAUGUAGAUGCCAUGACAUUCUACUUUUCCAUCUUCAGUUCAUGCUCAUUAUAGUCAAAUUUUUUUGCUGAGUUGCAUUUAAAAUUGAAGCAUUUGGUGGUUGGAUCAAAUGCAAUUUUGUAAAUUAACAUUGUCAUCGUGUUUUAGUAUACCUGGGUUUUUGCAACUUAGUUCCCUUUUCUCAUCAAAUUGCAUGCUUUUCUACUUAAUGAUGGUAUCUGCAUUCACUCAGCAGCCCAUAAACCAGAACUUGUUCUAUCUUAUACUAUUGCGGGGGAUUGUGGAAGAGUUGAUCUCAUAUGAAUCUAUCAGGAAAAAAGGUCAUGAUCUGUGGUGGGCCUUUUUCUCAAGAUGUUUUGCUUGAGAAUUGAGAUUACCAAUGGCUUUGUUCUCAUUAAUAUCCAAUGGAAGAUUACAAUUUGACUGGACACAAACACACACACAGGUUGUAGAUUCAGUUACUAUAAUUGGACUGAAGUUGUGAAUUAUGUUCUGUUGUUUAAACCUGUCCAGACUCCGGAUAGUGUUAACGGGGUUGUUGAAUAAACAUGCUUUAUUUUGUGAUUAGUCCUCUAAAAGUCCAACCUAGGUUAGCCUUCGUAUAUUCAAUGACAAAUUGACAAUAUUCAGUUUAAUGAUUUGACAGCCGUUAAACAUCAUGUGAUGUUUAAUUUAACUGAUAGGAAUUAAUCAUGUAACCAAUUAGAUGAAUCUCAUUCACCAUGAACUUGUUUAUUGUAAGGCUGCACGCCCAUAUUUGAAAUCCUGAAUUUGUUCCUCUAUGUAUGCCUUGAUUUGAAGAAAUGAGAGAAAUUUUGUAAUCAUGACUAUGCUUUCUUCUUUUUGUCUGAGGUUUCUUCAUAUCUUAAUUAGGCUUUCUUCGCUACAAUAACUUUUGAGUCUGGCUGUGUACACUUUACACCGGCUUUUGCAUAUGCAUACUAUAGUUGCUAAGGGCAUCUCCAAUCCACCUCUAUUGCUUCAAAACAGAGGAUGGAUGUGACACAUUGAGGGGAUAUUUUGUAAUUUAUUCCCUUUUUUUCUUCACUUUUUGUACUUUUUGAGUGAAUCUUUGAGGGACCCACCGUCCUUUUUAGAGUUUGAUCCUCCAAAAAUAAUUUUGGUCCUCUAUUUUUAUAGGACCAAAAGUAAAUUUGGAGUACAAAAUCCCUCCAAACUCUAAAAAGGACGAUAAGUCCCUUAAAGAUUCUCCCAAAAAGUACAAAAAGUGAAGAAAAAAGAGAAUAAAUUACAAAAUAUUCCCUCAUUGUAUCACAUCCAUCCUCUAUUUCGGAGGAAUAGAGGUGGAUUGGAGAUGCCCUAAGAGAAACAUUUUGAGGGGGUGUUUUCUGUGGGUGCAAAGCGCGCGUAACAUGAGGCUGGCAGGGAUAGAGGAUGCAGGAGAGGUGCUUGAAGAGCAACUUACAUAAAAAAUGUCCAAAAUGACAUUGGAGGAGGCCCUGACGCUUGCUCGAGCAUUCAGUCAUUAUCUCAAUUUGGUGGGUAUUGCUAAGACGCAUCAUAGACUACAUAAGACGCGGAAUGUGGCACAUCUAUCAAAAUCAUGUGAUGACAUUUUCAGCCAGCUGAUCCAAGGUGGAGUUUCUCUGGAGAAGCUCUAUGAUACUGUCUGCAACCAAGAGGUUGAGAUUGUUCUGACUGCACAUUCCACACAAAUCAAUAGACGUACCUUACAGUACAAACACAUUAGAAUUGCACAUCUCUUGGAGUUUAAUGAUCGAACUGAGGCCAUCAAGAUUGAAAUAAGCUGAUAGAAGAUCUGGUCUUAAUAUUUUACUAAUAUUACCUUCUAUUAUUAUGCUUUUGAAUGCUUCAAAAGGCGAAUAAUUUUUCGGGGUAUUGUAACUGAGAGAGAUAACGUCAAUAUGGCAAACAGAUGAAUUAAGACGCCACAAGCCUACACUAGUAGAUGAAGCUAAGGACACAUACUGGGAGGCCACUUCCGUUGACUUGCACGCCUAUUAAAUUUGGAGCUUGGAUGGGAGGUGAUAGAGAUGAAAAUCCAAAUGUCACAGCAAAGUAGAACCAGUGAAAUUGGAGCGCCUUAAGCCUCUCAUCUUACUUAUAUGGAUCUUUAUA
Molecule: RNA transcript, 2786 nt
Organism: Rhododendron vialii
Lineage: Eukaryota; Viridiplantae; Streptophyta; Magnoliopsida; Ericales; Ericaceae
Gene name: phosphoenolpyruvate carboxylase 4-like
Exons: 6
Source: RefSeq, a predicted model, not a curated record